Molecule: ribosomal RNA, 452 nt
Filed under: uncultured bacterium
Lineage: Bacteria
Description: bacterial SSU rRNA
Rfam family: Bacterial small subunit ribosomal RNA
Source: RNAcentral
UCGUCAGCUCGUGUCGUGAGAUGUUGGGUUAAGUCCCGCAACGAGCGCAACCCUUGUUACUAGUUGCCAGCAUUGAGUUGGGCACUCUAGUGAGACUGCCGGUGACAAACCGGAGGAAGGUGGGGACGACGUCAGAUCAUCAUGCCCCUUAUGACCUGGGCUACACACGUGCUACAAUGGACGGUACAACGAGUCGCAAACUCGCGAGAGUAAGCUAAUCUCUUAAGGCCGUUCUCAGUUCGGACUGUAGGCUGCAACUCGCCUACACGAAGUCGGAAUCGCUAGUAAUCGCGGAUCAGCAUGCCGCGGUGAAUACGUUCCCGGGCCUUGUACACACCGCCCGUCACACCAUGGGAGUUUGUAACGCCCAAGGUCGGUGGCCUAACCUUUAUGGAGGGAGCCGCCUAAGGCGGGACAGAUGACUGGGGUGAAGUCGUAACAAGGUAACCGUA